Molecule: ribosomal RNA, 114 nt
Organism: Cricetulus griseus (Chinese hamster)
Lineage: Eukaryota; Metazoa; Chordata; Mammalia; Rodentia; Cricetidae
Source: Ensembl
GUCUACAGCCAUAUUACUCAGAAUGUGCCUCAUCUCAUCUGAUCUCAUAGGCUAAGCAGGGUCAAGUCUUGGGUAAUACUUCGAUAGGAGGGUGUACCUAGCAUGUACAAGACC